Molecule: unclassified non-coding RNA, 271 nt
Filed under: Hevea brasiliensis (rubber tree)
Lineage: Eukaryota; Viridiplantae; Streptophyta; Magnoliopsida; Malpighiales; Euphorbiaceae
Source: RNAcentral
CUGUCCCAUGUCGCCGUGAUGAAGGCGGGCGAUGCCGGGUCGGACGGCAGGCUGCGGGCGUCCAUGAACGGGCGUGUGGUGUCGGUGCUGGCCAAGGCUGGAGAUACCGUCGCCGCCGGCGCGCGAUCAUCGUGCUGGAAGCCAUGAAAAUGCAGCAUGUUCACGCGGCCCCGGUGUCGGGUAAGCUCAAAGCGUUGAACGCUGCGGAAGGCGAUCAGCUCACGACCGGGUUUGUGAUUGCAGAGAUCGAGGCUGUGCAAGACGCGGCUUG